GCUGACGAGUGGCGGACGGGUGAGUAAUGCUUGGGAAUCUGGCUUAUGGAGGGGGAUAACUGUGGGAAACUGCAGCUAAUACCGCGUAUUCUCUGAGGAGGAAAGGGUGGGACCUUAGGGCCACCUGCCAUAAGAUGAGCCCAAGUGGGAUUAGGUAGUUGGUGGGGUAAAGGCCUACCAAGCCUGCGAUCUCUAGCUGGUCUGAGAGGAUGACCAGCCACACUGGAACUGAGACACGGUCCAGACUCCUACGGGAGGCAGCAGUGGGGAAUAUUGCGCAAUGGGGGGAACCCUGACGCAGCCAUGCCGCGUGAAUGAAGAAGGCCUUCGGGUUGUAAAGUUCUUUCGGUAAUGAGGAAGGGAUGUUGUUAAAUAGAUAGCAUCAUUGACGUUAAUUACAGAAGAAGCACCGGCUAACUCCGUGCCAGCAGCCGCGGUAAUACGGAGGGUGCGAGCGUUAAUCGGAAUAACUGGGCGUAAAGGGCACGCAGGCGGACUUUUAAGUGAGAUGUGAAAUCCCCGUUAUGAACUUGGGAACUGCAUUUCAGACUGGGAGUCUAGAGUACUUUAGGGAGGGGUAGAAUUCCACGUGUAGCGGUGAAAUGCGUAGAGAUGUGGAGGAAUACCGAAGG
This 632-nucleotide ribosomal RNA is filed under the name uncultured Pasteurella sp. RNAcentral's name for it is "bacterial SSU rRNA". It matches the Rfam family "Bacterial small subunit ribosomal RNA", at positions 87 to 715 of the family's 1533-position model. Lineage: Bacteria; Pseudomonadati; Pseudomonadota; Gammaproteobacteria; Pasteurellales; Pasteurellaceae. The record is from RNAcentral.